AUGGCGCAGCAGAAACAAAUCCGACUAGGAACCAUGAGGUUUCGGGUUCGAUCCCUGGCCUUGCUCAGUGGGUUAAGGAUCCGGCGUUGCAGUGAGUUGCAGUGUAGGUUGCAGACUCGGCUCGAUCCUGCAUUGCUGUGGCUCGAUCCUGCAUUGCUGUGGCUCUGGCAUAGGCUUGGCAGCUAUAGCUCCAAUUAGACCCCUAGCCUGGGAACCUCCAUAUGCCGCGGGUUCGGCCCUAGAAAAGGCAAAAAGACAAAAAAAAAAAUUAAUGAAAUGGAAAAACUAAACAGAUAGGAUCACCUAGAAAAAGCUUUUUUGGGGGAAAAGAUUAGUAAAAUAGAUAUACUUCUGGUUAGACUAAGUUGGGAAAAAGAGAAAAACACAGUGUUUAUUAUAAAAUGCAGUCACUGUGAAAAAUAUAAAUACAAAUGUAAAUAGUAAAAGAAAAUUACAAAUUUCGCAAAUAAAAAAAGUAAUGCAAAGCAGGAAAAAAACAACAAAACAGAAGAAAAUAAAUAUAACAAAAUAAAAACAAAAAAAUAUAGGGAGUUCCCUGGUGGCCAAGGAGUUAAAGGACCUAGCAUAGUCACUGCUGUGGCUUGAGUCACUCCUGUAGCAUGAGUUCAGUCCCUGACCCAUGAACUUCUGUAUGCUGUGUGCGUGGCCAAAAACAAACAAAAAACAAAACAAAAAAACCCAAAAUUAUAACAUAAAUUAAUAAUGUUGAGAGAUGUUGGUCUUGCCAAUAAAUGUGAAUAGACUGUUUACCUGUUAAAAAAGAUUUUCAAAUAGACACAUAAAAUGAACCUAACAAUAUAAAUGGAUGAACAAAAAUUUACCACACGAAUAGAAAAGGAAGAAAAAAGAAAGUUACAAUCCUUUUAGCAAAUUAAAAUUCAAGCCCUAAAGCAAGGAAUGAAACAGAGAAAGAUUCUUUUUUUUUUUUUUUUUGGCUUUCUGCCUUUUCUAGGGCCACACCCACGGCAUAUGGAGGUUCCCAAGCUAGGGGUCGAAUCAGAGCUGUAGCCGCCGGCCUACACCACAGCCACAGCCAUGUCUGCAACCUACACCACAGCUUACGGCAACACCAGAUCUUUAACCCACUGAGCAAGGCCAGGGACCAAACCCGCAACCUCAUGGUUCCUAGUCGGAUUCGUGAACCACUGAGCCACGACGGGAACGCCGAGAAAGUUUCUUUAUAAAGGUAAAGGCACAAUGCAAAUUAAAUAUACAAGAAUUAUGAAUAUCUAUGUACCAAAUAAUAUAAUAAUCAUCACCUAUAGGUGAUAGAGCAAGAACUAUAAGAAGGGCAAGGAGAAAUAAAUAGAAAUGAACAAUAAAUAGGAGGCUAGCACACCACUCUCAACAUGAACCAGGUGAAGUGGACAUAAGUAAAUAAUACAUAUAUCUCUAUCUGUAUGUAUAGAAGAUCUAAAUGGAAAAAGCAGUAAGAUAUGCUGAGCAUCAUACCCUGAUAAUAGAAAAUAUACCUUGUUCUCAAGCACACUAGAUCUUUUUUGAGAACUGACAAUAAGACACCCUUACAAAAGAUCAGUUGGUUUCAUAAAGUACAAGUAUUACAAACAAUACUAUAAGAUCACAGUACAGUAAAACUGGAAAUUAAAAUACAGUCCACAAACAAAACAAAGCAAGUCUUUCAUCUGGCAAUUUAAAUGCUUCUUAUUCAUCUUGGUGAAAAGUAAACACACACAAAAAUAUCACAGAAACUUUGGAAAAUAAUGGUAAUGAAAACACUACAUAUCAGAAUCUAUUAGACUCUUUAAAAGAGAGAUCAGAAGAAACUUUAUAAUACUAAAGAUCUACAUCAAUAAAAUAAAAGAAUGAAAAUAAAUUAAAUUUUCAAGUCAGAAAGGUAAGAAAAGCAAAGUAAGGAAAUAUUAAAGAUUAAAUUAGAAAUUAAUAAGGUAGAGAACAGGAAAAUAGGUUAAAUUAAAUCAAAAUCCUAUGUCUUUGAGAGAAUCUGAAAGUUAGAUAAAUCACUAAUUUAAUCAAAAGGCAAAAGCAAACAGAUAAGAAAUAACAAGAUGGAAAUAACUACUGUACAGGGGAAACAUAUUGUAAGAAUCUACUUUGUACAUAUCUUUAUAAUUAAAUUUGAAAAUGAAGAUUAAAUGAAUAAUUUCUUAGAGAAAAAGACUUUACAAAAAUUGACCCAGUAGAGACAGAAAGCUUAAACCAACCAAUUUCUAUAAUUGAAACAGAAAAAGUUAUCAAGGGGAGUUCCCUUGGUGGCUCAGUGGUUAAUGAACCCAAUUAGGGUCCAUGAGGAUGUGGGUUUGAUCCCUGGCCUUGCUCCUCGGGUUAAGGAUCUGGCUUGCCGUGAGCUGCAGUAUAGGUCGCAGACGCCAAUCCUGAGUUGCUGUGGCUGUGGCUAUAGUUGCCCCUAGCCUGGGAACCUCCAUAAAAUACAAAAAAAAAAAAAAAUCAAGAAAUUACUCCCCAUAAAAGCACCUAGCUCAGAUGAUUUUACAAAGCAAUUCUGCCAAACUUUAAGAGA
This 2521-nucleotide long non-coding RNA is filed under the name Sus scrofa (pig). RNAcentral's name for it is "lncRNA (ENSSSCG00045022557.1)". Lineage: Eukaryota; Metazoa; Chordata; Mammalia; Artiodactyla; Suidae. The record is from RNAcentral.